UACGUAGGGUGCAAGCGUUAAUCGGAAUUACUGGGCGUAAAGCAUGCGCAGGCGGUUAUGCAAGACAGAUGUGAAAUCCCCGGGCUCAACCUGGGAACUGCAUUUGUGACUGCAUGGCUAGAGUACGGUAGAGGGGGAUGGAAUUCCGCGUGUAGCAGUGAAAUGCGUAGAUAUGCGGAGGAACACCGAUGGCGAAGGCAAUCCCCUGGACCUGUACUGACGCUCAUGCACGAAAGCGUGGGGAGCAAACAGG
This 253-nucleotide ribosomal RNA is filed under the name uncultured bacterium. RNAcentral's name for it is "partial 16S ribosomal RNA". It matches the Rfam family "Bacterial small subunit ribosomal RNA", at positions 524 to 776 of the family's 1533-position model. The record is from RNAcentral.